CACAGCAAAAAAGCACGCAAAAUGAGCGAACGCAAACAAAUAUUGUAUUCGGUUCAAUAAAUUGAUAGAAAUAUUAAUGAUGCAAAAGUGUUGCAUUAGUAUUAUGCAAACGGAAAUCUGAUAUAUUCCGUCUGUACACACAUACAUAUGCAUAAAUAUACACACUGCAAAACAGAACGCACGUGGAACAAUAGCAGCCGCAGCCGCAGUCGCAGUCGCCGUUGCAGUCGCCGUUACAGUCGCAGUCGCAGUCAAAGCCCUCAGACACCAGACGGAGUUACAGGCGCAGGCACAGUCCCAAGCACAGGCACAAACAAAAGCCAACGACAUUGGAUUGCGGCUUGUUCUGUGACCCACGACACUGGCAGACGCUGGACAUAAUCGUUCAAUGACAGCAGCCACAGUUGCUGCCACCGCCUCUGCCUCUGCCGCGGCGCCGUCGUCCUCAUCGUCGCCGUCCGCUGUAAGCAACGCGCGCAGUUAACGCACAGCAGCAGCAGCAGCAGGAGACACUGUUUGAUCCGGUCUCAGCAGCGGACCAAUUGACAGCCAAGAAGUGCACUUCCCUGUGACGGAUACGGCUGUAGUUAAAGACUAUUUACAGA
Molecule: small RNA, 605 nt
Filed under: Drosophila virilis
Lineage: Eukaryota; Metazoa; Arthropoda; Insecta; Diptera; Drosophilidae
Description: GJ26089
Source: RNAcentral